UGGGGAAUUUUGGACAAUGGGGGAAACCCUGAUCCAGCCAUCCCGCGUGUGCGAUGAAGGCCUUCGGGUUGUAAAGCACUUUUGGCAGGAAAGAAACGUCAUGGGUUAAUACCCCGUGAAACUGACGGUACCUUCAGAAUAAGCACCGGCUAACUACGUGCCAGCAGCCGCGGUAAUACGUAGGGUGCAAGCGUUAAUCGGAAUUACUGGGCGUAAAGCGUGCGCAGGCGGUUCGGAAAGAAAGAUGUGAAAUCCCAGGGCUCAACUUUGGAACUGCAUUUUUAACUACCGGGCUAGAGUGUGUCAGAGGGAGGUGGAAUUCCGCGUGUAGCAGUGAAAUGCGUAGAUAUGCGGAGGAACACCGAUGGCGAAGGCAGCCUCCUGGGAUAACACUGACGCUGAUGCACGAAAGCGUGGGGAGCAAACAGG
RNAcentral lists this ribosomal RNA (429 nucleotides) under Acidobacteriota bacterium. Its description in RNAcentral is "Acidobacteria bacterium partial 16S ribosomal RNA". It matches the Rfam family "Bacterial small subunit ribosomal RNA", at positions 355 to 776 of the family's 1533-position model. The record is from RNAcentral. Lineage: Bacteria; Pseudomonadati; Acidobacteriota.